This is a small nucleolar RNA of Ornithorhynchus anatinus (platypus), 138 nucleotides long. The record is from RefSeq and is a predicted model, not a curated record. Lineage: Eukaryota; Metazoa; Chordata; Mammalia; Monotremata; Ornithorhynchidae.
CUCCUCUUAGGGUUGCAUCUGGAAAGUUUCCAAUACUCUACCAUUCUCAAUUACAGGAGGGAGAGUCAAGCAGAGGCCUGUCCAUUCCAUUCCUAGCUUGGCCAGUGGCUAGCUAGUGGAAGGCAAUCUGCUAUAAGU